GUCCAGACCCUACGGGAGGCAGCAGUGGGGAAUAUUGCACCAUGGGCGCAAUCCUGCUGCAGCCAUGCCGCGUGUAUGACGACGGCCUUCGGGUUUUCCCGUACUUUCAGCUUUGAGGAAGGUGUUGCGGUUAAUCCCCUCCGCAAUUGCCUUUCCCCGCAGACUCCUCCCCGGCUACCUCCUUGCCAGCAUCCUCGGUAAUACGUCGGUUUCAAGCGUUACUCGGAAUUACUGGGCGUAAAGCGCACGCAGGCGGUCGGUCAAGUCAGAGGGGAAAUCCCCGGGGGCAACCGGGGAACUGCAUUCGAAACUGGCAGGCUGGAGUCUUGUAGAGGGGGUUAGAAUGCCAGGUGUAGCGGUGAAAUGCGUAGAGAGAGGGAGGAAUACCGGUGGCGAAGGCGGCCCCCUGGACAAAGACUGACGCUCAGGUGCGAAAGCGUGGGGAGCAAACAGGAUUAGAUACCCGCGUA
Molecule: ribosomal RNA, 470 nt
Filed under: uncultured bacterium
Lineage: Bacteria
Description: bacterial SSU rRNA
Rfam family: Bacterial small subunit ribosomal RNA
Source: RNAcentral